This is a long non-coding RNA of Ahaetulla prasina, 1166 nucleotides long. RefSeq lists it as uncharacterized. Lineage: Eukaryota; Metazoa; Chordata; Lepidosauria; Squamata; Colubridae. The record is from RefSeq and is a predicted model, not a curated record. The transcript is spliced from 4 exons.
CCGACUCUCUUGCCGGGGCUUUUCGAUCCUGCUGCCAGAAAUGUCUUGGGCCAGCCAAGGAGGGCAAGUGGUCUUCGGUCAAGCGUCGGGGCAGAGACGGGAAAGCCCUUGAUCGCGGCAGCGGCUGGAAGAGUGAAGGGCGUAGGCGAUUUUCCCAGCCGGCGCCAGGAAACAAAGGACGCUGAAGCAGAAAAAAACAGGAAAGAUGUUUUCUGGAUAUUUUGAUCCAAGGUUAAAUGAAAACAACACCACCACCUAAGUAUUUGUGGAUUGGCUGAGAGAGUAUGAUGCCCAAAGAUACCCAGCCACCUUUCAUGCCUAAGGAGUGGACCAGGGGAAGAAGGAAAUCAACAAUUGCCACAGACUGAGAAGAAGCAGGAUCUUAUUCACCAAGGCUGCCUUCAACAAAUUUUGGGAGUUUCCCCCUUCCCCUCAGACAGCUCAGGAGAUAUGGGGAAAUUGUAAAGCAUCAUAUUUGUCAAGAAUAUCUGAAUAUCGCUUUCACUGGUGCUUUUACUAAUAGUAUACCCCUGCAAUUCAGAAAUAAGCACAGGGAAGAUACAUUUAUUUUUGUCUGGAUAAUGUCAUAUAUUUCAUAGUGAAUGUGUCUUGAUUUAAAAAAAAGAGUAAAAAAGAUGUUGAGACUCUAGAAAGAGUGCAGAGAAGAGCAACAAAGAUGAUUAGGGGACUGGAGGAUAAAACAUAUGAAGAACGGUUGCAGGAACUGGGUAUGUCUAGUUUAACAAAAAGAAGGACUAGGGGAGACAUGAUAGCUGUGUUCCAAUAUCUUAGGGGCUGCCACAAAGAAGAGGGAGUCAGGCUGUUCACCAAAGCACCUGAGGGUAGAACAAGAAGCAAUGGGUGGAAACUGGUCAAAGAAAGAAGCAACUUAGAACUAAGGAGAAAUUUCCUGACAGUUAGAACAAUUAAUAAGUGGAACGACUUGCCUUCAGAAGUUGUGAAUGCUCCAACACUGGAAAUUUUUAAGAAAAUGUUGGAUAACCAUCUGACUGAGAUGGUAUAGGGUUUCCUGCCUGGGCAGGGGGUUGGACUAGAAGGCCUCCAAGGUCCCUUCCAACUCUGAUGUUAUGUUAUGUUAUUUACAAAACUGCCUAACAGUAGCAUAUAUAAAAAAGAACAUAAUAUAAUGAUUUUGAAAAAAGUAA